ACAGAGACUUCAAGGGCAUUUCCUCCUCCUUUCUCUGAACUUCCCCAACAAUUUUACGUCCACGCCGCAUGUUUCUGCGCAAGCCCUCUACAGCCAAUCUAAAGUUUCAGGUCUUUUAAGCCCCCAUAAGGGAAUGGAGCUGCCUCAAAUAAUACCUCCAUUGGCGGACAGUACUGUUAGUGCAGCAACUGCUGCUAUCACUUCAGACCCUAACUUCACUGCAGCUCUAGCUGCAGCGAUCAGUUCC
RNAcentral lists this unclassified non-coding RNA (247 nucleotides) under Hevea brasiliensis (rubber tree). Lineage: Eukaryota; Viridiplantae; Streptophyta; Magnoliopsida; Malpighiales; Euphorbiaceae. The record is from RNAcentral.